Molecule: transfer RNA, 76 nt
Filed under: Alphaproteobacteria bacterium MarineAlpha3_Bin6
Lineage: Bacteria; Pseudomonadati; Pseudomonadota; Alphaproteobacteria
Also listed under: 1 other name
Description: tRNA-Glu
Rfam family: tRNA
About the family: Transfer RNA (tRNA) molecules are approximately 80 nucleotides in length. Their secondary structure includes four short double-helical elements and three loops (D, anti-codon, and T loops). Further hydrogen bonds mediate the characteristic L-shaped molecular structure. tRNAs have two regions of fundamental functional importance: the anti-codon, which is responsible for specific mRNA codon recognition, and the 3' end, to which the tRNAs corresponding amino acid is attached (by aminoacyl-tRNA synthetases). tRNAs cope with the degeneracy of the genetic code in two manners: having more than one tRNA (with a specific anti-codon) for a particular amino acid; and 'wobble' base-pairing, i.e. permitting non-standard base-pairing at the 3rd anti-codon position.
Source: RNAcentral
GUCCCCAUCGUCUAGCGGCCCAGGACAUCGGCCUCUCACGCCGAAAACGCGGGUUCGAUUCCCGCUGGGGACACCA